This 1465-nucleotide ribosomal RNA is filed under the name uncultured Bordetella sp. RNAcentral describes it as "partial 16S-23S ribosomal RNA intergenic spacer". It matches the Rfam family "Bacterial small subunit ribosomal RNA". Lineage: Bacteria; Pseudomonadati; Pseudomonadota; Betaproteobacteria; Burkholderiales; Alcaligenaceae. The record is from RNAcentral.
AGUUCGAUCCCGGGCUCAGAUUGAACGCUGGCGGAUGCUUACACGCAAGUCGAACGCAGCAUCGACUUCGGUCUGGUGGCAGUGGCGAACGGUAUAAUGUAUCGGAACGUGCCUAGUAGCGGGGAUAAUCAGCGGUGCGGGCUAUUGCACGGUGCAUAAUAUUCCUCUGGGGAAAGCGGGGACCUUCGGGCCUCGCACUAUUAGAGCGGCCGAUAUCGGAUUAGCUAGUUGGUGGGGCAACGGCUCACCGCGACGAUCCGUAGCUGGUUUGAGAGGACGACCAGCCACACUGGGACUACAGAUGACACGGCCCAGACUCCUACGAGGCAGCAGUGGGGGAAUUUGACAAUGGGAAACCCUGAUCCAGCCAUCAUGUGUGCGAUGAAGGCCUUCGGGUUGUAAAGCACUUUUGGCAGGGGGUGAAAUGCGUCGGAUAAUACCCCGUGCAACUGACGGUACUCGCAGAAUAAGCACUGCCAACUACGUGCCACAGCAGCCGCGGGUGAUUAUUGUGGUGCAAGUGCGACUCGGAAUUACUGGGCGUAAAGCGUGCGCAGGCGGUUCGGAAAGAAAGAUGUGGAAACUUGCGAGCUAAUCCUUCUUAAACUGCAUUUUUAACUACUGAGCUAGAGUGUGUCAGAGGGAGGUGGAAUUCCGCGUGUAGCAGGAAAUGCGUAGAUAUGCGGAGUGAAACAAUUGAUGGCGAAGGCAGUCGCUGAUAAAUAUCGAUGCUCAUGCACGAAAGUGGGGAGCAAACAGGAUUAGAUACCCUGGUAGUCCACGCCCUAAACGAUGUCAACUAGCUGUUGGGGCUCGGGCCUUGCAAGUAGCUAACGCGUGAAGCGACCGCCUGUGAGCGCGGUCGCAAGAUUAAAACUCAAAGGAAUUGAUACGACCCGCACAAGCGGUGGAUGAUGUGGAUUAUCUGAUGCAACGCGAAAAACUCAUCACCUUGACAUGUCUGGAAUCCUGAAGAGAUUUGGGAGGCCGCAAGAGAACCGGAACACAGGUGUUGCAUGGCUGUCGUCAGCUCGUGUCGUGAGAUGUUGGGUUAAGUCCCGCAACGAGCGCAACCUUGUCAUUAGUUGCUACGAAAGGGCAAUUUCGACGAGACUGCCGGUGAUGAAACCGGAGGAAGGUGGGGAUGACGUCAAGUCCUCAUGGCCCUUAUGGGUAGGGCUUCACACACGCUAUACAAUGGUCGGGACAGAGGCCGCCAACCCGCGAGGGGAGCCAAUCCCAGAAACCCGAUCGUAGUCCGGAUCGCAGUCUGCAACUCGACUGCGCAAGUCGGAAUCGCUAGCAAUCGCGGAUCAGCAUGUCGCGGUGAAUACGUUCCUGGUCUUGCACACACCGCCCGUCACACCAUGGGAGUGGUUUUACCAGAAGUAGUUAACGCUUCCAUCCGUAAGGAGGAAGAUUACCACGGUAGGAUUCAUGACGGGUGAAGUCGUAAUGAAGGUAG